GCGAUCAUGGCGGAAUUGGUAGACGCACUACCUUGAGGUGGUAGCGGGGUGACCCGUGGAAGUUCGAGUCUUCUUGAUCGCACCA
Molecule: transfer RNA, 85 nt
Filed under: Alphaproteobacteria bacterium
Lineage: Bacteria; Pseudomonadati; Pseudomonadota; Alphaproteobacteria
Description: tRNA-Leu
Rfam family: tRNA
About the family: Transfer RNA (tRNA) molecules are approximately 80 nucleotides in length.
Source: RNAcentral